Long non-coding RNA from Oreochromis aureus, 1419 nucleotides. Lineage: Eukaryota; Metazoa; Chordata; Actinopteri; Cichliformes; Cichlidae. The record is from Ensembl.
UUUUAAUGGAAGGUUUUAUUGCUUCAAGAUAUUAUUUAACAAAAAACAUUUGAUCAUAAGCAAAUAUUAAGCUUUUGUCAACACAAUAAAAGAGCAAAACUGAUAAACCCAGAAUAAUUAUAAACAAUCAUGACCACAGGCCUAUCCCAGCUCUCAUUCACAUUAUAUUUACUUUAUUGUAUCAAAUAUUUAUCAGUUUAUUUUUUGGGGCAAGUAAAAUGUUUCAGACUUCUUUUAAAUUUAUUCUGAUCAUAACUUUAAUCUUUUGACAUUCAGACCUUCAUCCAGUUUCUUCUGACACUUGAGCUGUGAAGGGAAAUAUUUACCAAGUGUUUAUCUUCACUUUAUUGUUUUUACAUUAGAAAUUAUUUCCAUGUUAAAUUCUUUGUGUCUGAUUUGACAACACAGACAGGUGACACAGCAGUGUAGCUGAGGUCCAGUGGUUUAGUUUAAAUACACAUCAUCAUAAAUAGUUGAGCACAUGCAAAGUCAGCCACCUGGAGCCUUUUUGAUGACAGCAUUUAAGGACCUCCCUCCAAGAACAGCCUACCUGCUGGCUGAUCUAAUAACUCUCCAUACUCCCUCCUAUAUGCAUCAUUUUGUGCAGCUCUUUCACUGAAUCUGUUCUCCAGAAUCACAAUAGCAAGAAUAGUUUUUCAAACUGGGAAAUAUUCCAGUUUGAGAAAAUGAAAAACAGAAUCAAUUAUAUGUUAAACUAAAUUAUAAGUAGCUGCAAUAAAAAAGCUUUAAACUGAGGCUAAUUGUUUGUCUGUAGGUGAUAAAUGUCAUAAACUGUUUUAUGAACUGUGUUCAUCUGUUAGUCGCUGAGGUUCCAUCAACAGCAUCACUGCUGAUGUUUUUCAGCAGCAGAGGAGAUCUGUGGUGUGGUUGGCAGGGCUGGCAUGUGCCUGAAGCCUGGAGGAGACGACAUCAGCUGUGUCACCACUGGGGGGCGCUGUUGGUGGUGGGAAUAUGGGAAAUCCACUUCAGCAUAAUCAACUCCAUUCAUGUCAUCGUUAGUCUGACAUCAAACUUCAGACUCUAAAUUAAAUGAUAAAGUUCCCCUCAGGGUGUUGAUGAAGCAGAAAUGAACAAAAUAAUGAAAAUAUCCAAAACACUAAAGCAAAACAAAUCAACUGUACCACAAAUAACAAUAAUCAUCGUCUCUAAAAAUAAUACUUAAUAACAAAUGAAAGAUUUUAUUAUUGGACUGUUUUUAUCUAGCUGUACCUAAUAAACUGGGACCAGAGAGUCCACAUUGACUUUAUGCAUUCCUCAUCAUUAAUAUUAGCUGGCAGAAAGAGAUGAUAUAGUAAAAAUCAAAGAGCUUAAAAUCAGACCACAGUUUUACUUUGUUGUGAGCAGAGGUGGAGAGGCUGCAGAGGUCUAUGUUUACAUCUCCAUCUGGUUGGAGGCUUU